CACUGAGAUGAUCUCCUUAACA
This 22-nucleotide non-coding RNA is filed under the name Rattus norvegicus (Norway rat). Lineage: Eukaryota; Metazoa; Chordata; Mammalia; Rodentia; Muridae. The record is from RNAcentral.